CAGCAGCCGCCGCGGUAAUACGAAGGGGGCUAGCGUUGUUCGGAUUUACUGGGCGUAAAGGGCGCGUAGGCGGGCUGAUAAGUCAGGGGUGAAAUCCCAAGGCUCAACCUUGGAACUGCCUUUGAUACUGUUUGUCUUGAGUUCGAGAGAGGUAAGUGGAACUGCGAGUGUAGAGGUGAAAUUCGUAGAUAUUCGCAAGAACACCAGUGGCGAAGGCGGCUUACUGGCUCGAAACUGACGCUGAGGCGCGAAAGCGUGGGGAGCAAACAGGAUUAGAUACCCCCGUAGUCCCUGUCUCUUAUAC
RNAcentral lists this ribosomal RNA (304 nucleotides) under uncultured bacterium. RNAcentral describes it as "partial 16S ribosomal RNA". It matches the Rfam family "Bacterial small subunit ribosomal RNA", at positions 506 to 807 of the family's 1533-position model. The record is from RNAcentral.